Acanthosepion pharaonis is the source of this 111-nucleotide non-coding RNA. The record is from the annotation of a GenBank genome assembly. Lineage: Eukaryota; Metazoa; Mollusca; Cephalopoda; Sepiida; Sepiidae.
CGGCCAUUUAAAGUUAAAACACCUGUUCCCGUACGAUCAACGAAGUUAAGCAACAUUGAGCUUGGUCAGUACCUAGAUUGGUGACUGCUUAGGAAUACCAAAUGCCGUAAG